RNAcentral lists this ribosomal RNA (638 nucleotides) under uncultured Methanoculleus sp. RNAcentral's name for it is "bacterial SSU rRNA". It matches the Rfam family "Archaeal small subunit ribosomal RNA", at positions 339 to 981 of the family's 1478-position model. Lineage: Archaea; Methanobacteriati; Methanobacteriota; Methanomicrobia; Methanomicrobiales; Methanomicrobiaceae. The record is from RNAcentral.
GCGCGAAAACUUUACAAUGCGGGCAACCGUGAUAAGGGAACCUCGAGUGCCUGUAUAUGCAGGCUGUCUGGGUGUCUAAAACACACCUAAAGAAAGGGCCGGGCAAGACCGGUGCCAGCCGCCGCGGUAAUACCGGCGGCUCGAGUGGUGGCCACUUUUAUUGGGCUUAAAGCGUUCGUAGCUGGGUUAUUAAGUCCCUUGGGAAAUCCGACGGCUUAACCGUCGGGCGUCUAAGGGAUACUGGCAAUCUUGGAACCGGGAGAGGUGAGGGGUACUUCGGGGGUAGGAGUGAAAUCCUGUAAUCCUCGAGGGACCACCUGUGGCGAAGGCGCCUCACCAGAACGGCUUCGACAGUGAGGGACGAAAGCUGGGGGAGCAAACCGGAUUAGAUACCCGGGUAGUCCCAGCCGUAAACGAUGUGCGUUAGGUGUAUCGGUGACCACGAGUCACCGAGGUGCCGAAGGGAAACCGUGAAACGUACCGCCUGGGAAGUACGGUCGCAAGGCUGAAACUUAAAGGAAUUGGCGGGGGAGCACCACAACAGGUGGAGCCUGCGGUUUAAUUGGACUCAACGCCGGAAAUCUCACCGGAUAAGACAGCUGAAUGAUUGUCGGGCUGAAGACUCUACAUGACUAGCU